GUACCCUAUGUUAAGCACAAGCAUUAGAAUUUCUCACUGUAAGGAACAGUAAAAUUGAAGAAAGACAAGUAUUAAUUGCAUUAAGUUGUUAUCUGUAAUAGUUACAGUGAUGAAAACUGCAAGGUAACUUGUUUCAGAUCGAGGAUUUGCAGCAGGAAAAGUCCAGUUGUCCAUGGAGUGAAGGUCGUCCAGUGUCUGUCCAAGACAUGCCGCAAGGUGACCCAGUGUCUCUGAAAUGCCCAUAGUAGAAGGCGAAGUGUCAUCAUGGAAGAAACUAGACUACAGCAUCUUUGAGUGGAUAAAAUUCCAGAUGACAGGACACAAAGCCCUGUCAUUACUGGAGACAACUGUCAUAGUUAUCCUUUUUGCUACAUCUAUGGGAAGGGUGAUGGAGAUUCAAAGCUACAAUUACAUCUGGAUUCAGAGCAAAUAGACAGCGACACUCAGGCUUUCAGCUUCGUGUUUGUUUUGGAUGAAAUACUUUAUU
Long non-coding RNA from Paramormyrops kingsleyae, 487 nucleotides. RefSeq lists it as uncharacterized. Lineage: Eukaryota; Metazoa; Chordata; Actinopteri; Osteoglossiformes; Mormyridae. The record is from RefSeq and is a predicted model, not a curated record.